Molecule: unclassified non-coding RNA, 314 nt
Filed under: uncultured fungus
Lineage: Eukaryota; Fungi
Description: partial contains small subunit ribosomal RNA, internal transcribed spacer 1, and 5.8S ribosomal RNA
Rfam family: Eukaryotic small subunit ribosomal RNA (bases 1-73)
Source: RNAcentral
UCAAACUUGGUCAUUUAGAGGAAGUAAAAGUCGUAACAAGGUUUCCGUAGGUGAACCUGCGGAAGGAUCAUUAUCGAGUUAGGGUCUUCUCAGGCCCGACCUCCCAACCCUAUGUUUACUGAACCACUGUUGCUUCGGCGGGCCCGUCGUUUUACGACCGCCGGAGGACCACUCUGGUCCUCUGGUCGCGCCCGUCGGUAGCCAACCUUAUAAACUCUUGUAUGAAUCGUGUCUACAAUCUGAGUACUAUAUGAAAUAAAAGCAAAACUUUCAACAACGGAUCUCUUGGUUCUGGCAUCGAUGAAGAACGCAGC